UACGGAGGGUGCAAGCGUUGUCCGAAAUCACUGGGUGUAAAGGGUGUGCAGGCGGAGCAGUAAGUCAGUGGUGAAAGCCCCCGGCUUAACCGGGGAAUUGCCUCUGAUACUGCUGUUCUGAGUCCCGGAGAGGCUGCCGGAAUUCGUGGUGUAGCGGUGAAAUGCAUAGAUAUCACGAAGAACACCAGUGGCGAAGGCGGCCAACUGGUCCGAUACUGACGCUGAGACACGAGAGCGUGGGGAGCGAACAGG
This 252-nucleotide ribosomal RNA is filed under the name uncultured bacterium. RNAcentral's name for it is "partial 16S ribosomal RNA". It matches the Rfam family "Bacterial small subunit ribosomal RNA", at positions 524 to 776 of the family's 1533-position model. The record is from RNAcentral.